This is a long non-coding RNA of Manis pentadactyla (Chinese pangolin), 632 nucleotides long. RefSeq lists it as uncharacterized. The transcript has 3 exons. The record is from RefSeq and is a predicted model, not a curated record. Lineage: Eukaryota; Metazoa; Chordata; Mammalia; Pholidota; Manidae.
UCAGCUUGAAAACUCCAUGAAAAUCUCUCUUGUGAUUCAGAAUGGAUUUGCCUUUGAGAGAAUCAUCAUUUAUGUAUGGGACAGCAGUUUGGGAUUAUUGGUAGCUACAGAAUAGAGAUUGUCAUUGGAGUGGGAAUGAAAUCCAAGAGACUCUCGCAAGAUGCUGUUCUCACAACAGUUCCAAAAUCUUCUAAAAAUGAUACGAAGUUAGGCGUAAUAUCCAGAUACGGAAUCCCUGCUGGAAUUGCAGACACAGGGAACUAACAUGUCCGUUUCCUUCCAACGAGUCCAUGACAGUGCCUCAAAAUACAACAACUCGUUGACAUCGAUAAUCAGCUGGAAGAAUGGAGACUUUGGUAUGCUUGUCAGUCACAUCUACUGUGGCUGCCUGCGCAGGGAAAAGAAGAAAGUGAGCAGAGAAUGGAAUAAUUUUAGAUAAUGUCAGCGUUCUGCAACGGUGGCCUGUGUAUGGCCAUGAGAGAGCCCAGAAGCAGUGAGGGAUCCAGAAAAGGAAGUGAGAAGGCAUCAAAAGUGUAUUUAUUGUGCUUUACAUGAAGGCCUUUUUCUGCUGAAAUAGAGCCACAUGCCACUAUCAGAUCUGACACCUCAACAAUAGAUUUCUGAUAUUUGUU